UGAGUUUGAUUCUGGCUCAGAACGAACGCUGGCGGCAGGCUUAACACAUGCAAGUCGAGCGCCCCUUCGGGGGAGCGGCAGACGGGUGAGUAACGCGUGGGAAUCUACCCUUUUCUACGGAAUAACUCAGGGAAACUUGAGCUAAUACCGUAUACGCCCUUUUGGGGAAAGAUUUAUCGGGGAAGGAUGAGCCCGCGUUUGAUUAGCUAGUUGGUGGGGUAAUGGCCUACCAAGGCGACGAUCAAUAGCUGGUCUGAGAGGAUGAUCAGCCACAUUGGGACUGAGACACGGCCCAAACUCCUACGGGAGGCAGCAGUGGGGAAUAUUGGACAAUGGGGGCAACCCUGAUCCAGCCAUGCCGCGUGAGUGAUGAAGGCCCUAGGGUUGUAAAGCUCUUUCAACGGUGAAGAUAAUGACGGUAACCGUAGAAGAAGCCCCGGCUAACUUCGUGCCAGCAGCCGCGGUAAUACGAAGGGGGCUAGCGUUGUUCGGAAUUACUGGGCGUAAAGCGCACGUAGGCGGAUCGUUAAGUGAGGGGUGAAAUCCCGGGGCUCAACCCCGGAACUGCCUUUCAUACUGGCGGUCUUGAGUUCG
This 594-nucleotide ribosomal RNA is filed under the name uncultured bacterium. RNAcentral describes it as "bacterial SSU rRNA". It matches the Rfam family "Bacterial small subunit ribosomal RNA", at positions 1 to 650 of the family's 1533-position model. The record is from RNAcentral.